Long non-coding RNA from Nicotiana tabacum (common tobacco), 1836 nucleotides. RefSeq lists it as uncharacterized. The record is from RefSeq and is a predicted model, not a curated record. NCBI's taxonomy places the organism in Eukaryota, Viridiplantae, Streptophyta, Magnoliopsida, Solanales, Solanaceae.
GUACUGGAAUGACUUUACCUUUAAAUUUUAUUUUUCCUUAUCUAAGUAGGUUUUGAAAGGAAGUACUGAUAGUCGACAAUCAUUUCUUAGUUUUCUCUUUCAGUUAUUUUUUUCUGAAUAUGUUAGUUAUUUGAACUAAUCGAAUAUUGAAUAUAUUUGUUGGUGAAGUCAAGAUUUCAAUUCAACCUUUCAAUAUUUGUACGAUACAUAUUCGAUAGUCGUUAGCUCAUACUUGGGACUGUCCGUGAAACUUUAAAAAUUUGUUGCAUAUUCUGUUACAUAGCUAAGUAUUGCAGUCGCUAAGAAACAACUUUAUAGGUUGGUUUUUUUGGAUUUAAUAGAUGAGUUUUUGGUGCCUUGUGAACUGCUUUUAUGCAGUUUCAAGUGAUUAUUUACAUGGCUAUUCUUUAUUUAUUAUCGUGGUGGGUCGAUGGAGUUUAAGGGUGGUUUUAAUGGAAGUUUAGAGGUGAUUCAUGGUUGGUCUGCAGCAACUAUGGUGGUUUUAGAGCUGCAUUUUUAAGGGGUUCAGGUGACCUUUCGGAUUUAUUUUGUGUGGAGAUUUUCGCUGCGUUUUUUUCAUGGUUGAUUUGACAAAAUCUUUACAAAGUUGCUGCAUAUUUUGUUAAACAACUAAGUGUUGCAGUUGCUAAGAAGCAAAUUUAUAGGUUGUCGUGUUGUAUCGAUGGAGUUUAAGUGUGAUUUUAAUGGAGGUUUAUAGGUGAUUCAUAGGUGGUUUCCAGCAACUAUGGUGGCUUUAGAUCUGCAUUUUUAAGAGGUUUAGGUGACCUUUCUGACUAUUUUUUUUUUGUGCAGAUUUUCGCUGCGUUUUUCUUUUGAUUUUCAUGGUUGAUUUGACAACAACUAUGAAAAGCAGAAUUUGUGCAAAUACUUCGACGUCUAAGCAUUAGGUUCUCUAGAGGAAGCACAAAAUACAAGGGAGCGACGAUGCACAAAUAUGGACAAUGGGAAGCUCAGUUUUUGCACUUUCUCAGUAAGAAGGCGUACGAUAAGACUGCUAUAAAGUGCAACAGAAGGAAGGCAAUUACUAAUUUUGAAUUGACCACAUAUGAAGGGGAAUUAAGUUCAGAUGUCGAUAAUAGAGGCAAUCACUUUAUUUAAAUGGUACAGUUGCAGAAAGAUGGACUAGCAAUCAUCCUUUCACUUUUCAUUGGUUGCUUCUAGCGUACUAUUCUUUCAGCGUUGGUUGAUCAUAUCCUUGAUGAAGAAAGGACUGGAAAGACAAUUGCAAAAUAUUGGAUGGUUUACUGGAGAUUCAUCUUCUCCAGUAAAUCACAUCUAUUCUUUAAUAUCGGAUAGACUCCAUAUGCUACUAGCAGCUUUUGUGGUUACAAGAUUAUGACCAGACUAUUGCCUCCAAUAGAGCAGACUAUAAUGAAGUAGUUCUUAUCCAAUUCAACCCUGAUAUUUGAGGUAUUUAAUAAUUCUAUUGAUGGUAAUUCCAGUAAGUUGGUCGAUUUAUUUGAUCAAUUAAUGUAGAAGCAUACUUUAACUCCUUAUGGAUUAGUAGGAGUAUUUAUUUGGUCUCUCUUUAAAAAAAAAAUUUGUUGUCGGGCAACUUAUUAAAAGGAAGUAGCAAGCCGUUGGAUAUAUUAGCAAAGUUAGAUGAGUUAGAUAGUUUUUCGCCUUACGAAGAAAUUAAACUUUUUUUAGGUUGAUUCUUCUUCUUCUUCUGCUAAGUUUUUAACUCAUAAUGAGGAACAACCAUUUUACCGAUCAAAAACAAGACCAAAUAUUUCACGCUCAAGCCCAUUUUUAACAAGUCACUUGGGAUUGGUAGUCCUUGCCAACAAUAAUAUAGAGACAGCCCGUUGAAAU